UGGGGAAUUUUGGACAAUGGGGGCAACCCUGAUCCAGCAAUGCCGCGUGUGUGAAGAAGGCCUUCGGGUUGUAAAGCACUUUUGUCCGGAAAGAAAACUUCGGGGCUAAUACCCCUGGAGGAUGACGGUACCGGAAGAAUAAGCACCGGCUAACUACGUGCCAGCAGCCGCGGUAAUACGUAGGGUGCGAGCGUUAAUCGGAAUUACUGGGCGUAAAGCGUGCGCAGGCGGUGCUGUAAGACCGAUGUGAAAUCCCCGGGCUUAACCUGGGAACUACAUUGGUGACUGCAGCGCUGGAGUAUGGCAGCGGGGGGUGGAAUUCCACGUGUAGCAGUGAAAUGCGUAGAGAUGUGGAGGAACACCGAUGGCGAAGGCAGCCCCCUGGGCCAAUACUGACGCUCAUGCACGAAAGCGUGGGGAGCAAACAGG
Molecule: ribosomal RNA, 429 nt
Filed under: Bacillota bacterium
Lineage: Bacteria; Bacillati; Bacillota
Description: Firmicutes bacterium partial 16S ribosomal RNA
Rfam family: Bacterial small subunit ribosomal RNA
Source: RNAcentral